Molecule: ribosomal RNA, 253 nt
Filed under: uncultured bacterium
Lineage: Bacteria
Description: partial 16S ribosomal RNA
Rfam family: Bacterial small subunit ribosomal RNA
Source: RNAcentral
UACGUAGGGGGCAAGCGUUGUCCGGAAUCAUUGGGCGUAAAGCGCGCGUAGGCGGCCCGGUAAGUCCGCUCUGAAAGUCCAGGGCUCAACCCUGGAAAGCGGGUGGAUACUGCCGGGCUAGAAUCCGGAAGAGGCGAGUGGAAUUCCUGGUGUAGCGGUGGAAUGCGCAGAUAUCAGGAGGAACACCGGUGGCGAAGGCGGUUCUCUGGGCCUGUACUGACGCUGAGGAACGAAAGCGUGGGGAGCGAACAGG